CUUGGCGACCAUAGCGCUUUGGACCCACCUGACUCCAUGCCGAACUCAGUAGUGAAACGAAGCAGCGCCGAUGGUAGUGUGGGGUCUCCCCAUGUGAGAGUAGGACAUCCACCAAAU
RNAcentral lists this ribosomal RNA (117 nucleotides) under Salinivibrio kushneri. The record is from RNAcentral. Lineage: Bacteria; Pseudomonadati; Pseudomonadota; Gammaproteobacteria; Vibrionales; Vibrionaceae.